UACGUAGGGUGCAAGCGUUGUCCGGAAUUACUGGGCGUAAAGCGUGCGCAGGCGGCUUUGCAAGUCAGAUGUGAAAUCCCCGGGCUUAACCUGGGAACUGCAUUUGUGACUGCAUGGCUAGAGUGCGGCAGAGGGGGAUGGAAUUCCGCGUGUAGCAGUGAAAUGCGUAGAUAUGCGGAGGAACACCGAUGGCGAAGGCGAUCCCCUGGGCCUGCACUGACGCUCAUGCACGAAAGCGUGGGGAGCAAACAGG
RNAcentral lists this ribosomal RNA (253 nucleotides) under uncultured bacterium. Its description in RNAcentral is "partial 16S ribosomal RNA". It matches the Rfam family "Bacterial small subunit ribosomal RNA", at positions 524 to 776 of the family's 1533-position model. The record is from RNAcentral.